RNAcentral lists this ribosomal RNA (61 nucleotides) under uncultured fungus. RNAcentral's name for it is "partial 18S ribosomal RNA". Lineage: Eukaryota; Fungi. The record is from RNAcentral.
CAAUUAGAGGAAGUAAAAGUUGGGACCAGGGUUCCGGAGGUGACCUGCGGAAGGAUCAUUA